Molecule: non-coding RNA, 232 nt
Filed under: Clostridia bacterium
Lineage: Bacteria; Bacillati; Bacillota; Clostridia
Description: T-box sequence
Rfam family: T-box leader
About the family: Uncharged tRNA acts as the effector for transcription antitermination of genes in the T-box leader family. T-boxes are found upstream of many aminoacyl-tRNA synthetase genes and some amino acid biosynthetic genes usually in Gram-positive bacteria.
Source: RNAcentral
UCAAAGAUGAUGAAGGAGACAUGUUGUAUCCAGUCCCUUAUUCCAGAGAGCCGGGUUUAAGGUGGAAGACCGGUAAUAAUACUGGAUACAAGAUCACUCCGGAGUUGCACCGCCCAACGUCUGCCUUGUUAAAGCGGGCCAGUAGGUGGUGUCGGUAAAAGCCGUUAUCCCAAAAAAGUGGUUGCUCUGGCGGCAAUCAGGGUGGUACCGCGGGAUACCUCUCGUCCCUGAA